RNAcentral lists this long non-coding RNA (633 nucleotides) under Sus scrofa (pig). RNAcentral's name for it is "lncRNA (ENSSSCG00035019497.1)". The record is from RNAcentral. Lineage: Eukaryota; Metazoa; Chordata; Mammalia; Artiodactyla; Suidae.
UUGCCUCCGAAGGCGGUAGCCCCCUGAUCUCCACUCUAUUUUUUUUGUCUCCUUUCUUAAAUCUGCGGCACUGCUGACCUUGAGACCUGAGUUGACAAGCAGGUCUCAUCAAGUGGCGCUGAACAGGGACCUGAAGCAGUUCACAGUCUACAAGACUAAUGGACAGGUGCUGACAGACGCGGGGAAUUCUGGCUGAAAAAGCGACAGACUGGAAAGUAACAAGAGAUGAAGAAACCAAAAGAAUAAUCAGGAAAUUGAAUGUAGAACAAUUAAUGCUCAACGAAAAGUGGCUUUUUGUAGUUGUUACUAUCAAAGGGUUCCCUUCAAGAUUACCUCACAGAUUUUCCAGGAGGUGAAGAUGAAGACAAGGAGACUGAACAAUGGAUGUGUGUGUGUAACUGUCCCCUGACUCACAAAAGUGCAAUGGAAAGCAAACAAGUGAAGUGAAAGAAUGCAAAGAGGGAGAUGGAACAAAAGCUUGCAGAGAAGUGCCAGUUAACAACUGACUAUAAGAGAAGAAUAAUCUUCUGAGUAAAUACAGAGAAAGAGAGAAAGAGAAGGGGCAGGGAUUUGUAUUGAAGAAGCUUGCUCUGUACUUUGAAACAAACUGAAAGAGAAAAAAUAGUAUUAUUU